Molecule: ribosomal RNA, 332 nt
Filed under: uncultured bacterium
Lineage: Bacteria
Description: bacterial SSU rRNA
Rfam family: Bacterial small subunit ribosomal RNA
Source: RNAcentral
CAUGCAGGCGGUCGGACGCGUUUCCAGUGACAGCGGGUGGCUUACCUACCCGAGGGUUGGAAAGACGGUUUGACUUGAGGACUCGAGAGGGACACGGAAUUCCGGGUGGAGUGGUGAAAUGCGUAGAGAUCCGGAGGAACAUCGGAGGCGAAGGCAGUGUCCUGGCGAGUGACUGACGCUGAGGUGCGAAAGCUAGGGGAGCGAACGGGAUUAGAUACCCCGGUAGUCCUAGCCGUAAACGAUGACCACCAGGUGUGGGAGGUAUCGACCCCUUCCGUGCCGGAGUUAACACACUAAGUGGUCCGCCUGGGGAGUACGGUCGCAAGAUUAAA